Molecule: transfer RNA, 85 nt
Filed under: Colletotrichum fructicola Nara gc5
Lineage: Eukaryota; Fungi; Ascomycota; Sordariomycetes; Glomerellales; Glomerellaceae
Description: tRNA-Val for anticodon CAC
Rfam family: tRNA
About the family: Transfer RNA (tRNA) molecules are approximately 80 nucleotides in length.
Source: RNAcentral
GGUCUAUUAGUCUAGUUGGUGUCGGAUUCUGAUUCACACCCAGCCAGAUGUUCCGUAAGCCCAGGUUCGAAUCCUGGAUGGACCU